UCUUGGUCAUUUUAGAGGAAGUAAAAGUCGUAACAAGGUUUCCGUAGGUGAACCUGCGGAAGGAUCAUUAUUGAAUAAACUUGCAGGCUGUUUUGCUGGCCCUCUGGGGCAUGUGCACGCUUGUCAUUUUUAUUUCUUCCACUGUGCACAUAUUGUAGAUCUGGUUAUUUUGGAAUUGUUCGAGUGAAAUCGAAUAGAUUGAGGACUGCUGUGCUUCAGCUUUGCCUUGUAUUUCCAGGUCUAUGUUAUUUCAUUAUUAAAAUCCUCUGUUUGAGAAUGUUGAAAUUGGGUCUUUUGUACCUAUAAAGUUAAAUAUACAACUUUCAGCAACGGAUCUCUUGGCUCUCGCAUCGAUGAAGAACGCAGCGAAAUGCGAUAAGUAAUGUGAAUUGCAGAAUUCAGUGAAUCAUCGAAUCUUUGAACGCAUCUUGCGCUCCUUGGUAUUCCGAGGAGCAUGCCUGUUUGAGUGUCAUUAAGCUCUCAACUGCACUAGUUUUUUCUAGUUGUAGCUUGGAUGUGGGGGUUUUGUUUUUGCAGGCUUCAGAUAAUGAAGUUGGCUCCCCUAAAAUGUAUUAGUGGUCUCUGAGCAGAGAAAACGGUGUGAUAAUUAUCUAUGCCUUAGUACUUUGCAUGAAAAGAUUGUAUCGCUUCUAACACAAAGUGACUCCACUUUAUGUUUGACAAAUUUGACCUCACAUCAGGUAGGACUACCCGCUG
RNAcentral lists this ribosomal RNA (717 nucleotides) under Inocybe umbratica. RNAcentral describes it as "eukaryotic LSU rRNA". The stretch from base 319 to 472 matches the Rfam family "5.8S ribosomal RNA". Lineage: Eukaryota; Fungi; Basidiomycota; Agaricomycetes; Agaricales; Inocybaceae. The record is from RNAcentral.